Molecule: ribosomal RNA, 497 nt
Filed under: uncultured bacterium
Lineage: Bacteria
Description: partial 16S ribosomal RNA
Rfam family: Bacterial small subunit ribosomal RNA
Source: RNAcentral
GAUGAACGCUGGCGGCGUGCCUAAUACAUGCAAGUCGAGCGAACAGACGAGGAGCUUGCUCCUCUCACGUUAGCGGAGGACGGGUGAGUAACAUGUGGAUAACCUCCCUAUAUGACUGGGAUAACUUCGGGAAACCGGAGCUAAUACCGGAUAAUAUAUUGAACCGCAUGGUUCAAUAGUGAAAGACGGUUUUGCUGUCACGUAUAGAUGGAUCUGGGCCGCAUUAGCUAGUUGGUAAGGUAACGGCUUACGAAGGCAACGAUGCGUAGACGACCUGAGAGAGUGAUCGGCCACACUAGAACGGAAACACGGUCCAGACUCCUACGGGAGGCAGCAGUAGGGAAUCUUCCGCAAUGGGCGAAAACCUGACGGAGCAGCGCCGCGUGAGUGAUGAAGGUCUUCGGAUCGUAAAACUCUGUUAUUAGGGAAGAACAAAUGUGUAAGUAACUAUACACGUCUUGACGGUACCUAAUCAGAAAGCCACGGCUAACUACGUG